Molecule: ribosomal RNA, 478 nt
Filed under: uncultured bacterium
Lineage: Bacteria
Description: partial 16S ribosomal RNA
Rfam family: Bacterial small subunit ribosomal RNA
Source: RNAcentral
GAUGAACGCUAGCGGCAGGCCUAACACAUGCAAGUCGAGGGAGAAGCCCUUUCGGGGGCAGAAACCGGCGCACGGGUGCGUAGCGCGUAUGCAACCUACCUUUCACAGGGGGAUAGCCCGAAGAAAUUUGGAUUAAUACCCCAUAAUAUUAUUUGAUGGCAUCAUUUGAUAAUUAAAACUGCGGUGGUGAAAGAUGGGCAUGCGUCCUAUUAGCUAGUUGGAGUGGUAACGGCACCCCAAGGCUACGAUAGGUAGGGGUCCUGAGAGGGAGAUCCCCCACACUGGUACUGAGACAGGGACCAGACUCCUACGGGAGGCAGCAGUGAGGAAUAUUGGGCAAUGGUCGGAAGACUGAACCAGCCAUGCCGCGUGCAGGAAGAAUGCCUUAUGGGUUGUAAACUGCUUUUAUAUGGGAAGAAUAAGGUGUACGUGUACAUUGAUGACGGUACCAUAUGAAUAAGCAUCGGCUAACUCCGUG